Molecule: ribosomal RNA, 434 nt
Filed under: uncultured bacterium
Lineage: Bacteria
Description: bacterial SSU rRNA
Rfam family: Bacterial small subunit ribosomal RNA
Source: RNAcentral
GGGCCCGCACAAGCGGUGGAGCAUGUGGUUUAAUUCGAUGCAACGCGAAGAACCUUACCUACUCUUGACAUCCAGAGAAGCCAGCGGAGACGCAGGUGUGCCUUCGGGAGCUCUGAGACAGGUGCUGCAUGGCUGUCGUCAGCUCGUGUUGUGAAAUGUUGGGUUAAGUCCCGCAACGAGCGCAACCCUUAUCCUUGUUUGCCAGCGAGUAAUGUCGGGAACUCCAGGGAGACUGCCGGUGAUAAACCGGAGGAAGGUGGGGACGACGUCAAGUCAUCAUGGCCCUUACGAGUAGGGCUACACACGUGCUACAAUGCUACGGACAAAGGGCAGCAAGUUCGCGAGGACAAGCAAAUCCCAUAAACCGUGGCUCAGUUCAGAUCGUAGGCUGCAACUCGCCUACGUGAAGGCGGAAUCGCUAGUAAUCGCAGGUC